RNAcentral lists this ribosomal RNA (399 nucleotides) under uncultured bacterium. RNAcentral's name for it is "bacterial SSU rRNA". It matches the Rfam family "Bacterial small subunit ribosomal RNA", at positions 8 to 433 of the family's 1533-position model. The record is from RNAcentral.
AGAGUUUGAUCCUGGCUCAGAGCGAACGCUGGCGGCAGGCUUAACACAUGCAAGUCGAGCGGGCGUAGCAAUACGUCAGCGGCAGACGGGUGAGUAACGCGUGGGAACGUACCUUUUGGUUCGGAACAACACAGGGAAACUUGUGCUAAUACCGGAUAAGCCCUUACGGGGAAAGAUUUAUCGCCGAAAGAUCGGCCCGCGUCUGAUUAGCUAGUUGGUGAGGUAAUGGCUCACCAAGGCGACGAUCAGUAGCUGGUCUGAGAGGAUGAUCAGCCACAUUGGGACUGAGACACGGCCCAAACUCCUACGGGAGGCAGCAGUGGGGAAUAUUGGACAAUGGGCGCAAGCCUGAUCCAGCCAUGCCGCGUGAGUGAUGAAGGCCCUAGGGUUGUAAAGCUC